Molecule: long non-coding RNA, 479 nt
Organism: Xiphophorus couchianus (Monterrey platyfish)
Lineage: Eukaryota; Metazoa; Chordata; Actinopteri; Cyprinodontiformes; Poeciliidae
Exons: 4
Source: RefSeq, a predicted model, not a curated record
UAAAAGGUUAAGCUGGAAGGGUGGUGACCAGACCAGCUGUGUGUUCCUGGGCCCACGCUGUUUGCUGGCUGUGGACUGCAUCGUUGAUGGUGUUCGGCUGGUAGCGUUACCUGGGCGUGGGUGUUCGUCGCCGCAGGGUUGCACCACAUUGGAUACACCAAGAUUUGAUUUGGAAGUGUUGAUUUAUGCAAUGCAGUUUUUGCACUGCCUCCUGCUGUCCCUUUUAGCGUUUGGGUUUUUUUUUUUUUCUUUUUUGUUAGUUCGCCUAGUUAGGAUCAUUUUUCUGCUUGUAGUACUUGUGAGGGCGGGCUGACAACUUUUUCAUUCAUUUUGUUUGCUGUGUUUUUUGUUUAUUUUGUGGCACUUCCCUGAAUUCUUCUAUCCUGUUUGGCGUGAUCUCCAUGUUGGGCUGACAACGAACGGAUAAAGCUAGCGGGGAAUCCUUCAUGUAUUCAACAAUAAAUAUCAAUAAUUAACUU